This 382-nucleotide ribosomal RNA is filed under the name uncultured eukaryote. RNAcentral describes it as "partial 18S ribosomal RNA". It matches the Rfam family "Eukaryotic small subunit ribosomal RNA", at positions 592 to 976 of the family's 1831-position model. The record is from RNAcentral.
UGUAAGCGUAUACCAAAGUUGUUGCAGUUAAAACGCUCGUAGUCGGAAUUUGGCAGUUCCGGAUGUGUGCACGUCGUGUGCGCACUUCGCGGGGAUUGCUUUUGUGGUCUUGCGUAGGAUGAGGCACUUUUAUUAGUGAACGUCCUCACGCAACCACUUUUUACGGUGAGAAAAUCAGAGUGCUCAAAGCAGGCAUUUGCCGUGAAUGUAUUAGCAUGGAAUAAUAGAAUAGGACUUGGUUCUAUUUUGUUGGUUUGUUGGGACUGAGUAAUGAUUAAGAGGGACAGUUGGGGGCAUUUGUAUUUCGGUGCUAGAGGUGAAAUUCUUAGAUUACCGAAAGACAAACUGCUGCGAAAGCGUCUGCCAAGGAUGUUUUCAUUGA